GGAGGGCAAGUCUGGUGCCAGCAGCCGCGGUAAUUCCAGCUCCAAUAGCGUAUAUUAAAGUUGUUGCAGUUAAAAAGCUCGUAGUUGAAUUUCGGGGUUAGUAGAUUGGUCGUGCCACUGGUAUGUACUGGUCUUACUGAUUCCUCCUUCCUGAUGAACCGUAAUGCCAUUAAUUUGGUGUUGCGGGGAGACUGGACUGUUACUUUGAAAAAAUUAGAGUGUUUAAAGCAGGCUAACGCUUGAAUACAUUAGCAUGGAAUAAUGAAAUAGGACGUUCGAUCCUAUUUUGUUGGUUUCUAGGAUUGACGUAAUGAUUAAUAGGGAUAGUUGGGGGCAUUAGUAUUCAAUUGUCAGAGGUGAAAUUCUUGGAUUUAUUGAAGACUAACUACUGCGAAAGCAUUUGCCAAGGAUGUUUUCAUUAAUCAAGAACGAAAGUUAGGGGAUCGAAGACGAUCAGAUACCGUCGUAGUCUUAACCAUAAACUAUGCCGACUAGGGAUCGGAUGAUGUUAAUUUUUUAAUGACUCAUUCGGCGCCU
Molecule: ribosomal RNA, 537 nt
Filed under: uncultured Glomus
Lineage: Eukaryota; Fungi; Glomeromycota; Glomeromycetes; Glomerales; Glomeraceae
Description: SSU rRNA
Rfam family: Eukaryotic small subunit ribosomal RNA
Source: RNAcentral